GAUGAACGCUGGCGGCGUGUCUAAUACAUGCAAGUCGAGCGAACAGACGAGGAGCUUGCUCCUCUGACGUUAGCGGCGGACGGGUGAGUAACACGUGGAUAACCUACCUAUAAGACUGGGAUAACUUCGGGAAACCGGAGCUAAUACCGGAUAAUAUAUUGAACCGCAUGGUUCAAUAGUGAAAGACGGGUUUGCUGUCACUUAUAGAUGGAUCCGCGCCGCAUUAGCUAGUUGGUAAGGUAACGGCUUACCAAGGCAACGAUGCGUAGCCGACCUGAGAGGGUGAUCGGCCACACUGGAACUGAGACACGGUCCAGACUCCUACGGGAGGCAGCAGUAGGGAAUCUUCCGCAAUGGGCGAAAGCCUGACGGAGCAACGCCGCGUGAGUGAUGAAGGUCUUCGGAUCGUAAAACUCUGUUAUUAGGGAAGAACAAAUGUGUAAGUAACUAUGCACGUCUUGACGGUACCUAAUCAGAAAGCCACGGCUAACUACGUG
This 497-nucleotide ribosomal RNA is filed under the name uncultured bacterium. Its description in RNAcentral is "partial 16S ribosomal RNA". It matches the Rfam family "Bacterial small subunit ribosomal RNA", at positions 28 to 507 of the family's 1533-position model. The record is from RNAcentral.